RNAcentral lists this ribosomal RNA (483 nucleotides) under Lithobius mutabilis. Its description in RNAcentral is "partial large subunit ribosomal RNA". It matches the Rfam family "Bacterial large subunit ribosomal RNA", at positions 1827 to 2587 of the family's 2925-position model. The record is from RNAcentral. Lineage: Eukaryota; Metazoa; Arthropoda; Chilopoda; Lithobiomorpha; Lithobiidae.
UGCUCCUUGUGGUUAAGAUAAGGAGUCUGAUCUGCCCAAUGAUUAAUUUGAAUGGCCGCGGUAUUUUGACUGUGCGAAGGUAGCAUAAUCAAUUGUCCCAUAAUUCGGGUCUGGAAUGAAUGAUUUAAUGAGAGGGACACUGUUUCUUUUCGAAGAAUGAAUUUUUAAGGCAGGUGAAGAUACCUGUAUAUUUUUAAAAGACGAGAAGACCCUAUAAAGUUUUAUAUUGUUGAUGAUAUUUUUAUCGUUUACUAUAUUUAGUUGGGGCAACUGUAGAAUAAUACAAACUUCUUAUUUAAUAAAAUAUCCGUGAUUAAAUUUGAUUAAAAUGAUCCAAAAUUUUGAUUUUUAGAAAAAAUUACUUUAGGGAUAACAGCGUAAUCCGUUUUUAGAGUUCUUAUCGAUGGGCGGGAUUGCGACCUCGAUGUUGGAUUAAGAUACCUUAUUUAAUGUAGGCGUUAUUAGGGGUAGUCUGUUCGACUA